GAUGAACGCUGGCGGCGUGCCUAAUACAUGCAAGUCGAGCGAACGGACGAGAAGCUUGCUUCUCUGAUGUUAGCGGCGGACGGGUGAGUAACACGUGGAUAACCUACCUAUAAGACUGGGAUAACUUCGGGAAACCGGAGCUAAUACCGGAUAAUAUUUUGAACCGCAUGGUUCAAAAGUGAAAGACGGUCUUGCUGUCACUUAUAGAUGGAUCCGCGCUGCAUUAGCUAGUUGGUAAGGUAACGGCUUACCAAGGCAACGAUGCAUAGCCGACCUGAGAGGGUGGACCGCCACACUGGGACUGAGACCCGGUCCCGGCUCCUAAGGGAGGCAGCAGUAGGGAAUCUUCCGCAAUGGGCGAAAGCCUGACGGAGCAACGCCGCGUGAGUGAUGAAGGUCUUCGGAUCGUAAAACUCUGUUAUUAGGGAAGAACAUAUGUGUAAGUAACUGUGCACAUCUUGACGGUACCUAAUCAGAAAGCCACGGCUAACUACGUG
RNAcentral lists this ribosomal RNA (497 nucleotides) under uncultured bacterium. RNAcentral's name for it is "partial 16S ribosomal RNA". It matches the Rfam family "Bacterial small subunit ribosomal RNA", at positions 28 to 507 of the family's 1533-position model. The record is from RNAcentral.